This 80-nucleotide microRNA precursor is filed under the name Petromyzon marinus (sea lamprey). RNAcentral's name for it is "microRNA pma-mir-92a precursor". Its record names the gene pma-mir-92a. The record is from miRBase by way of RNAcentral. Lineage: Eukaryota; Metazoa; Chordata; Hyperoartia; Petromyzontiformes; Petromyzontidae.
CCUGUCCCGCUGAGGUCAGGAUGGGCAGCAAUGCGUGACUAGAUCCUGUAUUGCACUCGUCCCGGCCUUAGCGAGAUUUA